Molecule: ribosomal RNA, 699 nt
Filed under: uncultured Serratia sp.
Lineage: Bacteria; Pseudomonadati; Pseudomonadota; Gammaproteobacteria; Enterobacterales; Yersiniaceae
Description: bacterial SSU rRNA
Rfam family: Bacterial small subunit ribosomal RNA
Source: RNAcentral
UGUAAACGAUGUCGAUUUGGAGAUUGUGCCCUUGAGGCGUGGCCUCCGGAGCUAACGCGUUAAAUCGACCGCUGGGGAGUACGGCCGCAAGGUUAAAACUCAAAUGAAUUGACGGGGGCCCGCACAAGCGGUGGAGCAUGUGGUUUAAUUCGAUGCAACGCGAAGAACCUUACUACUCUUGACAUCCAGAGAACUUAGCAGAGAUGCUUUGGUGCCUUCGGGAACUCUGAGACAGGUGCUGCAUGGCUGUCGUCAGCUCGUGUUGUGAAAUGUUGGGUUAAGUCCCGCAACGAGCGCAACCCUUAUCCUUUGUUGCCAGCGGUUCGGCCGGGAACUCAAAGGAGACUGCCAGUGAUAAACUGGAGGAAGGUGGGGAUGACGUCAAGUCAUCAUGGCCCUUACGAGUAGGGCUACACACGUGCUACAAUGGCGUAUACAAAGAGAAGCGACCUCGCGAGAGCAAGCGGACCUCAUAAAGUACGUCGUAGUCCGGAUUGGAGUCUGCAACUCGACUCCAUGAAGUCGGAAUCGCUAGUAAUCGUAGAUCAGAAUGCUACGGUGAAUACGUUCCCGGGCCUUGUACACACCGCCCGUCACACCAUGGGAGUGGGUUGCAAAAGAAGUAGGUAGCUUAACCUUCGGGAGGGCGCUUACCACUUUGUGAUUCAUGACUGGGGUGAAGUCGUAACAAGGUAACCA